Malus domestica (apple) is the source of this 1354-nucleotide RNA transcript. RefSeq lists it as uncharacterized. The record is from RefSeq and is a predicted model, not a curated record. Lineage: Eukaryota; Viridiplantae; Streptophyta; Magnoliopsida; Rosales; Rosaceae.
GGCAUAGGAAGAGUCUUCUGAUUGCCUAAAAACCCGUAGAAUUCACACGUCUACUUCAUCUCCUUCGCCACGCCGUCAAUCUCAAACUGCUCCAACCUAAUCGAGUAGUCGAACUCGUCGUCAGCCUCCACAAUCUUGACGUCGGCGGCUGACUGUCUUGUUCUUCCAGGUCGAGUCUUGCACGCAGCGGCAGUGUCUCGAGCAGAGCCUCCACAAUCUUGACGUCGGCGGCUGGCUGUCUCGUUCUUCCAGGUCGAGUCUUGCACGCAGCGGCAGUGUCUCGAGCAGAGCCUCCACAAUCUUGACGUCGGCGGCUGGCUGUCUCGUUCUUCCAGGUCGAGUCUCGCACGCAGCGGCAGUGUCUCGAGCAGAGCCUCCUGAAGAAAUCUGAGGUCAUCAAGCUCAAUUCAGACUCUAGAGUACGAGACCAAGGCGUGUCGAGCUUGAGCAGCGCAAGGUCGCGAUCAAGGACAACUUCGAGGAAACCGCCUUGACGACGUCAUCUUGUCGUCGCACAACGCGAGGUCACAAUCUGGGGCUUCUUCAAGUGACCGUGGAAUUCGCGGUUUGGGAUUGAACGAUGGGUCAGAUCCAGUACUCCGAGAAGUAUGAUGAAUUUACGAGUACAUGUGCGCUCGUUUCUGCUUCGUUUUCUUUACGAGUACACCACCAUGUUUCCUCCACGAGUACACCACCAUGUUUCCUCCAAAUAUCCGCCGAAAGGCACUAGUUUCGGCUUAAAGAUUUGUUUUAUUUUGAUGCAUGAGCAUGGACUAAUUGUAGAGGGGAAGGUUUGAUAAACACAAGUGCUACUGGAUCAUAUGCUUGUUAUCUGCAGGCAGGCAAACCACACAAGUUGGUGAUUUAAUGAAGCUGUCGUCAAAACAGUUUAUUUCCACAAUUUGGGAUUCCCUAAAUGUGCCGUUUACAAAUGGGGAAGAUAGCAAAAUUCUGAUUAGACUUGGAGGAAACAUGGUGGUUUUAGGUUGUAGUUUGGACAUUUAUGCUUCUGCAAUUACAAGGCCGUACCUUUCUGAAGCUUGGGAGGUUAGGGAGAAGAGGAAGAUAGAGAAGCCAUUGAUGAAUUGGAGGCUUCCUGCAUUAGAGGAUGAAAUUGACAUGAAAGACAAUCUUAAAUGGUGGGCUUAUACUGUUGCUUCUACAGUUAGAUGACGAACAUUAUUGUUCUAAGAUUUUUUGUACAUUUUUCUGGUUUGGAUUUUGCUUCAAUUUUUUGACACUAUUUGUAUACAGUAGAUGAUCUACCAGGUGAAUCAAUAUUGUUCUACAACUUGUAAAUGUGAAUAAAAAGUAUAAACAUUUUCAUGAUCAGAUUAUGAAUAUUUGUGCUUAA